GGCCGGCUGGCUCAAUGGGUUAGUCUAUCCUCAUCAAAACCUGCACUUCACACUGCUAACUCCCACAAAGUAGAGUGCUUGACUACGAAUCAAGAGGUUGCAGGUUCGAGCCCUGCGUCGGUCA
This 124-nucleotide transfer RNA is filed under the name Pseudocercospora fijiensis CIRAD86. RNAcentral's name for it is "tRNA-Arg (ACG) (tRNA-Arg-ACG-2-1)". The stretch from base 54 to 124 matches the Rfam family "tRNA". Rfam says of the family: Transfer RNA (tRNA) molecules are approximately 80 nucleotides in length. Their secondary structure includes four short double-helical elements and three loops (D, anti-codon, and T loops). The record is from RNAcentral. Lineage: Eukaryota; Fungi; Ascomycota; Dothideomycetes; Mycosphaerellales; Mycosphaerellaceae.